Ictalurus punctatus (channel catfish) is the source of this 1088-nucleotide long non-coding RNA. Lineage: Eukaryota; Metazoa; Chordata; Actinopteri; Siluriformes; Ictaluridae. The record is from Ensembl.
GUUGGGGACAGCAACAGAGAGAGAAAUUCAACAUAUAAUGACCGGACGGAACGGGGAACUUCAGUGUUUUGUUAUGCCGUGGAAUGAUCAAUAAAGUUUUUCUUGUUGAUGGGUUGCUCACUUUCGAGGUGAGACAGCUGUGAUAAAGAGACAUGAGCUGUGUGAUUGGUGAGAGGAAAGUUCACACAAGGACCUCCCAAUUUACACCGAAAGACGAGAACAUCCAUCACCCAUCCUCUCAGUUCUUCAUUACGCUUCAUUAGAGCAGGCGUGGACUGAAUAUUUCACACGCGUGUUCUUAAAUCACAUCACAACACUCACAUUGCAAACAAAUGGAUCUGUCCAAAUAAAUCAGGCCUGUGAUCAUCUUCACCACCUUUAGUGUAAACGUCAGCAUUUUGGCUUGAACUAGAAAUGUAAAAAAUUCGGAACCUGUGGGUCUGGAGUGUCGCUCGGGCACAGAUCUCCACACACUGUACUUACAGUACAGUCCUUCAUUACUGAGACGCCGCACUACACACACUGGACUCCAUCACGCUUACAGCACCCCUGCAAACACCUGCUGCACUCUGUGUGUGUGUGUGUGUGUGUGUGUGUGUGUGUGUGUGUGUGUGUGUGUGUGUGUGUGUGUGUGUGUGUCGCAGUACCAGUCUCGGCUGUGCUCUUGCGGUUCAGCACUUUCAGGAUGUCUUUGGUGAUCUUCUUGAUGGCGUGCCGAGCCUCGUCUCGCUGCUUGCCCACUCCAUACAGAACCACAAGGCGCUGCAUACUGGAUGUGGCGCGGCUGCUCGUACACUUGCGGGAAAGUCGGGUCCAAACCCUUCUCCUUGGCCGUGCCCUUCCCGUCCUGCUCCGGGGCAGCUUUUUCUGGAGAGGGGCUUCCCUUCGCCUCACAGUGCAUUGGGGGAGAUAACAUCUGCUCAAAGACAAGCCAGAACGCUCAGUUUAGGCGCUACAGCGGGUCAAAACCUGGAUGUAUUUCAACUUCUAAAUCUGGGAUUUUUAAUUAGCGAUGUCGGAUCCAAGUCAAAUUCUUCAUGAACUACGUCAUAUUAACUCGCGUAAAAUCUAAUAAACAGCAUUUUUUU